UCCAGCAGCCAUAUCACCCUGUAACUCACAACUAGCAACUCCCUGAAGCUAAGCAGGUGAGAGACUGGUCGUUACCUGGAUAGGAGACCUCCUGGGAAAAACUUACUUUGCUGCUGGAA
This 119-nucleotide ribosomal RNA is filed under the name Lepisosteus oculatus (spotted gar). Lineage: Eukaryota; Metazoa; Chordata; Actinopteri; Semionotiformes; Lepisosteidae. The record is from RNAcentral.